RNAcentral lists this ribosomal RNA (332 nucleotides) under uncultured bacterium. RNAcentral's name for it is "partial 16S ribosomal RNA". It matches the Rfam family "Bacterial small subunit ribosomal RNA", at positions 338 to 667 of the family's 1533-position model. The record is from RNAcentral.
CCUACGGGUGGCUGCAGUGAGGAAUAUUGGUCAAUGGGCGCAAGUCUGAACCAGCCAAGCCGCGUGCAGGAUGACGGCUCUAUGAGUUGUAAACUGCUUUUAUAAGAGGAUAAACGCAGAUACGUGUAUCUUUUUGAAUGUACCGUACGAAUAAGGAUCGGCUAACUCCGUGCCAGCAGCCGCGGUAAUACGGAGGAUCCAAGCGUUAUCCGGAUUUAUUGGGUUUAAAGGGUGCGUAGGCGGGUUGUUAAGUUAGGUGUGAAAGGUUGUGGCUCAACUUCGGAAUUGCAUUUUAUACUGUCAGGCUAGAGUAUAGUUGAGGUAGGCGGAAU